GGGGGCAUAGCUCAGCUGGUAGAGCGUCUCGUUCGCAAUGAGAAGGUCAGGGGUUCGACUCCCCUUGCCUCC
This 72-nucleotide transfer RNA is filed under the name Chitinophagia bacterium. RNAcentral's name for it is "tRNA-Ala". It matches the Rfam family "tRNA". Rfam says of the family: Transfer RNA (tRNA) molecules are approximately 80 nucleotides in length. Their secondary structure includes four short double-helical elements and three loops (D, anti-codon, and T loops). Lineage: Bacteria; Pseudomonadati; Bacteroidota; Chitinophagia. The record is from RNAcentral.